AUUAACCAUCAACCAGAGAGAACUUUAUAUUCUAAGAUUCAAUUAAAUCCUACUCUUUUUUCUCUUCAUUAUUUAUUCAACUACACGGUUUAUACGAAGACACCUGCUAUUACGUAUGCGGUUGCGUGCAAGCAACUUGAUCUUGAGGCUCGACCACUAGUUGCCGGUGGGUAGAAGAUUGGAAUCCUUCAUUCGGAGUAAGAUAAACAGCUGUGGUAUUAAAUGUAUUUAAUCACAGUGGUCUGAACUUCAAUCAUCUGGAAGUGAUAAUGACUACUUGGCACAACACAAGUUGGAG
Chelonus insularis is the source of this 298-nucleotide long non-coding RNA. RefSeq lists it as uncharacterized. The transcript has 3 exons. The record is from RefSeq and is a predicted model, not a curated record. Lineage: Eukaryota; Metazoa; Arthropoda; Insecta; Hymenoptera; Braconidae.